Molecule: ribosomal RNA, 1384 nt
Filed under: metagenome
Description: bacterial SSU rRNA
Rfam family: Bacterial small subunit ribosomal RNA
Source: RNAcentral
CGGAACGUACCCAUUUGUGGGGGAUAACUAUCCGAAAGGAUAGCUAAUACCGCAUAAGUCCUGAGGGAGAAAGCAGGGGAUCGCAAGACCUUGCGCGAAUGGAGCGGCCGAUGCCGGAUUAGCUAGUUGGUAGGGUAAAGGCCUACCAAGGCGACGAUCCGUAGCGGGUCUGAGAGGAUGAUCCGCCACACUGGAACUGAGACACGGUCCAGACUCCUACGGGAGGCAGCAGUGGGGAAUUUUGGACAAUGGGCGCAAGCCUGAUCCAGCCAUUCCGCGUGAGUGAAGAAGGCCCUCGGGUUGUAAAGCUCUUUCGGCAGGAACGAAACGGUGGGGGCUAAUACCCCCUGCUAAUGACGGUACCUGAAGAAGAAGCACCGGCUAACUACGUGCCAGCAGCCGCGGUAAUACGUAGGGUGCGAGCGUUAAUCGGAAUUACUGGGCGUAAAGCGUGCGCAGGCGGUUAUGUAAGACAGAUGUGAAAUCCCCGGGCUUAACCUGGGAACUGCGCUUGUGACUGCAUAACUCGAGUGUGGCAGAGGGGGGUGGAAUUCCACGUGUAGCAGUGAAACGCGUAGAGAUGUGGAGGAACACCGAUGGCGAAGGCAGCCCCCUGGGUCAACACUGACGCUCAUGCACGAAAGCGUGGGUAGCAAACAGGAUUAGAUACCCUGGUAGUCCACGCCCUAAACGAUGCGAACUAGGUGUUGGAGAAGGAGACUUCUUUAGUACCGCAGCUAACGCGUGAAGUUCGCCGCCUGGGGAGUACGGUCGCAAGAUUAAAACUCAAAGGAAUUGACGGGGACCCGCACAAGCGGUGGAUGAUGUGGAUUAAUUCGAUGCAACGCGAAAAACCUUACCUACCCUUGACAUGCCAGGAACUUGGUAGAGAUACCUUGGUGCCCGAAAGGGAGCCUGGACACAGGUGCUGCAUGGCUGUCGUCAGCUCGUGUCGUGAGAUGUUGGGUUAAGUCCCGCAACGAGCGCAACCCUUGUCAUUAGUUGCCAUCAUUUAGUUGGGCACUCUAAUGAGACUGCCGGUGACAAACCGGAGGAAGGUGGGGAUGACGUCAAGUCCUCAUGGCCCUUAUGGGUAGGGCUUCACACGUCAUACAAUGGUCGGUACAGAGGGUUGCCAAGCCGCGAGGUGGAGCCAAUCCCAGAAAGCUGAUCGUAGUCCGGAUCGGAGUCUGCAACUCGACUCCGUGAAGUCGGAAUCGCUAGUAAUCGUGGAUCAGCAUGUCACGGUGAAUACGUUCCCGGGUCUUGUACACACCGCCCGUCACACCAUGGGAGUGGGUUUCACCAGAAGUAGGUAGCCUAACCGCAAGGAGGGCGCUUACCACGGUGGGAUUCAUGACUGGGGUGAAGUCGUAACAAGGUA